CCGGCCGGGGGACGGACUG
RNAcentral lists this small nuclear RNA (19 nucleotides) under Arabidopsis thaliana (thale cress). RNAcentral's name for it is "snRNA_11936". The record is from RNAcentral. Lineage: Eukaryota; Viridiplantae; Streptophyta; Magnoliopsida; Brassicales; Brassicaceae.